AAAGAACGUCGCCAGAGAACGCGAGGGUGUUUUCACCAGCAUGUUUAUCAUGUGGUAGUCGCACUGGGGGUUCUUUCUUUU
Molecule: non-coding RNA, 81 nt
Filed under: unclassified sequences
Description: DUF3800-VII RNA
Rfam family: DUF3800-VII RNA
Source: Rfam by way of RNAcentral